Molecule: long non-coding RNA, 646 nt
Filed under: Vigna radiata
Lineage: Eukaryota; Viridiplantae; Streptophyta; Magnoliopsida; Fabales; Fabaceae
Description: long non-coding RNA (VRAD_LNC017855)
Source: RNAcentral
UGCAAAGCUAGAAUGAGACUUCAAACAAGAUAAGGCACCGAUUAAAAUGAUAAGAAAGUGCUAUGGAAUAGUGCAUAACAGCAAACAUUCACUUACAUAGAAAAACAGAAAAGAAAAUCAAUCAAAUAGUACAUACUUGAAGCAAUGACAGUAUGUAAAUUGAAUGACAGUUUGGAAGCAAGAAAAUGGACUUAUCUGAAACGUGAAUCAUCCAACCAUAGCUCUGAUACCACUUGAUACACCAGGCUUGGUGCAUUCUUGGAGAUCCACGAGAGCUGAGUUCAGGCGAGGAGAUUCAACCGAUUGAAUGGCUUGAAACUGGUGCAGCAGAGAAACAGAUCUGUGGCAGCGGUAGUUUCCAGAUCUGGAUGGAGGAAUUUGUGGUAGGGAAGCAGCGGAGGAAAGUGUUUAACAAAGGUGAACUGGAUGGAGGCUAGCUUGAAGAGAUGGUUACAACUCAGAAGNCUUCCACAAGAGGAAGAAAGUUGAAUUGGAGAAACAAGCAAUGAGGAGGACUUUCGGAGAAGAGAAUUGACAAGCAAUUUCUGCAGAAUUUCUUCAUAUAUCCAAAAGUGCAUACAUGGUGCAGCCAAGGUGAGUUUUAUAGACUCCUCACACUUUGGCAUAUGAUGGAAAACGUGAUUAU